Molecule: long non-coding RNA, 20189 nt
Organism: Mus musculus (house mouse)
Lineage: Eukaryota; Metazoa; Chordata; Mammalia; Rodentia; Muridae
Product: predicted gene, 40912
Exons: 2
Source: RefSeq, a predicted model, not a curated record
UUGACACAGCAGUCAUGAACACUGCAGAGGGUCAUUUCUGAAUUCUUGUCUUCUGUUGAAGUCUUGAUUCUAAAUCUUCUCUACUCUUAAUAACAAAGAGUUAUUUCUUGUUUUUGUUUAUUUUUCUACGAAUAAGACUUUAAAAUUUUUCUUUUAAGAUAUGUGUACAUAUGUGCUUAAAACAGUCGUUUCAUUUUUUGCUAUUUAAUAAUGUUUGUAUUCAUUAUUACAUGUGCAAGACAGUUUAUGAGAAUCCUAGAGUAAAAGAAACACUGAUGCUGAGUAUGGUGUGUGUGCCAGCAAUCCCAGUACUUAGGAGGAAGAGGCAUAGGAGUUCAGGUUUGAGGUUAGUCUAGGCUACAUAGUGAGGCCCUGUCUCAAGAAGAGAAUGCAGAGAGAGAAAUAUCGAUCAUAACAGAAAUGAGUAAAGGACAACUGUGUCUUACUGAGCACUGACUGAGUAAAAGUGUGAGUGACAGUAACCUCUGCAACCCUUUCCGCGGAGUAAUUAGCAGCAAGCCUGCUGAAGCUCUGGUUCAGAGAAGGCCGGAAAGAAACACUGGGUAGCUUACUCUGUGUUGAAGCAAACUUGGGGAUUUCACCUAUGCCUUCAGAAUGAAUGGAGGAAGAAAAGAAUAAUACAGAAAAAGGAGUAAUGUAUAAAAAUAUUUAAGUUCAAAGACAUCAGGAUGAAAAGAAAACAAGUCCAAAUUAUGACAUUAGCAUCCGUUCUCGUGUAUGAGUUUCCACACUCUAGAGUGGUGUGAAGGACUGUAAAGAUUGUUCAGCGAAUGCUUCAGCAAGGUGUCAGAUGCACCAGUAUUAACAUUAGAAGCAGAAUUUAAAGGAAAAAAGAAAGAUAAAUGUGCAUAAGCCCCAAAUAGAUAACCUAAGAAGCCUUCUGAAUUAUGAACUUUCAUCUGCCCACUGUUAUAAUGUUGAUAUAUAAAGCAACAUUGGUGACUUAAAGGUUAAGUUUGACAAAUUCAUGAUCAUGGUCAAAGAUGCUAAACGAUAAUGUCAGAGACAUGCAAAUUAUUUAGACAAAAUGGGAAACGGUAUAGAAGUCAGAAAAUCGAUAAACAAGCUUGAUUUACAUUUAAGUAUUCUCUGUGAUAUUUGCAUUUACAUGAUGUAUACAAAUUAAUGAAUUCAGUAUUCAUUUUAAGAUGCUAGAACAUGCCAAGUUGUUCUAAACAAAAUGAUGGAAGGGAGAUGGAUAUACAAUUCUGGGUAUCAAGUCUUUGCAGAAGAACUGAGUCACUAGAACAGCAAAAUGACUCCCCUUUGCCUUAGCAGCCUGCUCUAGCAGGAGAGCUGGCCCUGCCCCUCAGCGGCUGCAGCAUUGAGGAGAGCUGCUCUGCACCUGGCCUGGGCAGCACAGUAGAGCCGAUGUUGGUAGCAGGGGCACAGAUGAGCUGGUCCUACCACUUGUCUGCUAUGGGCUGGCAUCAAUGAGGGAGAGAUGCUCUUGCUGCCUCUCCUUUUACUAUCUGCAGCAGGCAGGAGAGCUGACCUAGAAGGUCAUGAGAGCUGGAGAGCUGCCCUACCCCUCAGCAGCUCUAGUACUCAGUUGGAAGUGGGCCCUGCAUCUCACCUGGGCAGCACAGUAGAGCUGGCCCUGAUGUGGAAGGUGCAGGUGAACUGGCCCCAAGGGUAUGAGAGUGGGAGAGCUGGCCCCUCCUCUUGCUGGCAGCAGCAUCAGAGGAGCUAGCCUGGGGAGUGCUGGAGAACUAGCCUUGGUGGUGUGUACAUAGGAGAGCUGGUAGGCUGAAUAAUUCAGCUACCAUCCAAGCCCAGAUCAAGUGCUUUAAGCUAGUCCACCACAACAUCUAUCUUAUCUAUGACCUGCUGGAGCAGGUAAAAGGGCUAGUAAUGCAGGUCCAAAACUGUAGGAUCUCAAUGACACAGAACAACAACAGGCUUUCUGAGAGGAGUCCCAGUGAGGGUCCAGCAUUGAUAGUGGAGCAGAAAGAAGACCAUGUCCUGGAAACAGACCAAUUACUUAUUGCAGUGAACAUUUGCAAAUAGAACUAUGUGGACAAAAGGGUAUUCUGUCUGACACACAGUGACAUGCUAUAGCUUCUUCCACACUUUUUUUUUUUCCUAUCAAAUUUUCUUUUGGAGGGGAGCUUACAAGGACAGAGAAUGGAUACUAAGGGACAAGAUGAAUGUAAUUGGGGUACAUGAUGUCAAAUUCACAAAGAAUCAAUAAAAGUUAAAAAUAAAUAAAUAUAUAAACCCAAAAGGUAAACCCCAAACAAUCCAGCCAUAACUAGGUGACAGGGCUCCCUUAAGAGCAUCCCUGUGUAGGAACCUACUCCUGACACCUUGAAGUUCAAUCCCCAGGACCUGUCACACUAGCUGUGAUGGUUUGUAUUUUCUUGGUCCAGGUAGCUCAGGGCUUCCAGAGUCUUUAAGGUGCUUGGAAAUGUGAAUACUAACGAAACACCUGAAAAGAAUGUGUUUCUUUUUUUUUAUUCUUAAAAUGUGAUGGGAAAAUAAACUUUUUAAAGUCUUUGUUUUAGAAAUACAUAUUGAAGUACCAGCAUGAUAAAUACAGGACUUGGGAUUGUGUUCAUAAUAAUAGUUGCUUUGGCAUUUUUAUGGUGGGUGUAAGGUGGUGGGCUUUGAAUUAUAAUUGGGUAUUGUGUGCAUGCAGUCAUCUUUUUUUGUGUUUACAUGUUUUUGAGAUUCAUCGACUACAAAACUAAAACACAGCAAACAUUGAGACCAGUCAGUCAAGGACAUUGGUUCAGCAUAUUCUGUCAUGUGGCUCCUGCUCUCAUGAGACAGAAGCUGCCAAUUCCUUUUAAAAGGCAGGAUACAUUAAAGAAAAGAGUAUAAAUGGCGCACAAUAGAAAUCUGAAAGGCAUCAAAUCUGGAAUUGAGAGCUUCUCCAUUUUUCAUGUGAUUUAGCACAUAAGUUCUUACCUAAUUGUAAAAGACUUGUGUAGUUUGUUUCAUAGAAGAGAAACCUUGACAUUCAUCAGACUCAUUUUAUGAAGUUAUACCUGUUUAUAUUCGUGCUAAAUAAAAAAGGAAACUUUGAACAUUUCACCUCCUUGGGUAUCAGUUCUUCUGUUUUAAUGAAUAGGCAAAUAUUUAUUAAAUGAAACAUUUAUAAGUUUAAUUCAAUAUUGUAUCCCAUUCCAUUAACUCAUAAAAAGAGAACAAAGCAUGUGACUAUCUCAAUAGAUGUAGAAAAUAAUUUGAAAUUUAAUUAUUUGAUAGCAUUAAAAAUACAUUUAAUGACAUUAAUGACACAUGGUAAAAACUUUAGCAAACUAAGAAUAGAAAGGAACUUCCUGAACUUUGCAAAUGAUGUCUGUCAGGCACUUGCAGCAUCUGUUAUGACUAAUGAUGAAUCAUUAUCUAUCUAAAUCCGCCACCAUUGCCAGUCACCUGCUCCUCUGCUUCUGCUCAUUAGUGAAGUAGAAAUUUUCCCCUCAUAGGGUAAAACAGAGGACCUUAAGCCCUGGUUCAAUCCUUAGCACCACCAAGAACAGAAAGAAAGAGAGCCUGAAGGCUGGAGAGGUGGCUCAGUGGUUAAGAGUGGGAACUGUUCGUGCAGAGGAUCUGUGUUCAGUUCAUAUCGUCCAUGUCAGACAACUUACCAUGCCCUGUAACUCCACCUCCACGGCGAUCCAAUGCUUCUAGCUUAUUUCAGCAUUCGUACUUACAUUCAUAUACCCAUACACAGAUCCACCUAUCCAAAUAAUAAACGCAAAUCAAUUUUAAAAAUCUUAGAAGGAUACAAACACUAGAUAACAGAAACUAAAGCUAUUUUCUUUGCAUAUGACAAAAUUAUACACAUCAAAAAUUUAAUAGAAUAUCCAGACUUAUUUGGAGUAGAAAGAGAAUUCAUUCAGCAAGGGUAUUAAGUGCAAGGAAAAUGUGGAAACAUUACAUUUCUUCUCAUAAGCAGUAACCAAAUAGCAAACCAUAAGGAUUCCAUGCACAGUACCAGUUAGAACCUUGAAGUCCUCCAUAUAAAUUCUGUAUAAGCUACACAAGAUAGUUAUGGAUAAAGUGAUUAAAGGCCAUUCAGGAUAUGAUAAAAGGAGAAAAGAUGGACGUGCUAUAUGUAUGUAUUUUUAGAAGUAAGAAAACAGUGUCAUCAUAAUGGUGAUUUACAUCUGACAGUGUCUCCUGGUAUUGGAAAACUUGAAUGACUGGUCAUAAAACUCAUGUUCCAGAGUUACGUAUAAAGGACUUGCCUUACUAGAUGUUAAGACAUACAAUUUAUGGUUGUAAAGAUGAUUUUAGCAGUGGCAGAAAGUUAGUAAAAUGCAGAAUUUUGAAAUAAUUGUGCUUGCAUAUAUAAAUCUACCAAAUAGGAAUGGAAUUGCAGAAGCAGGAAGAUAAUAAAUUCUCUCUUAAUUGUUCUGAGACAGUUAUCUGUGAGACAAUUCCUCAGUCCCUCAGUGGAUGCAUAAUUCAUUCCUGGAUGACUUAAUCCUUUGUGAAAUGAAAGUCUUUAAAAACUGUGGAAGAAAAUCUAGGAGGUCAUUCCUCCCUUGGUGCAAUAUAAUAGCUGAAUUGUGAGAUUCUUUGAGGAAAAAAGAGGAAAUUUGAGGAAAUUCUUUGAUUACAGCUGGUGAUAAAAAGUGUGUGUGAUUGAAGCUUUUGAUAAAAGCCUUCAUAUGUUGCCAUUUAAGGACAUACUAGAUUGAAGAGAGACAAAGAUAAGGCCUGUUUGGGUGAAAUUCUUGCAUUUAUUAAAACACCAAUGGUCUUGACCACAGUAAAGCGUUUCAGCAGUGGGAAAUGCGCACACACCCCUAGUGCACGUGACUGCGGGCCUUGGGUCUGUAAGUCUGAAAGUAAAAACCUGCACUGAGCUCCUACCCUCAAGCUCACAUUCUUGAGGGAGUCUCAUCUACCAGGAAGUAGACACUAAAUCUUUUUAUUUUAAUAAAAGUAUUAGAAUUGGUUGAAAUAUAGAACAAUCCCAAUUUCUACCAAGAACAGUAGCAGUAAAUUAAAUUGACUUUAAUGUAUUUUUUGGUUGUCUGCAAGAUCAUAGAACUGUAGAAAUAAACACAACUCUGUAAGUGUAGUGAACAGGAGACGCAAUAUUGAGUUGGAAGUAAAAGUAAGUUUCAGACGUCUCAGCAGUGUGAUUCCAUUUGUGUAAAUUUGAAAAAGUGAGUAUGCUUAUCCAGUAUAUUCUACAAGGGGCCAGGUAUAUAUCGAGAAGUUGCAAAGCAAAAUGAGAGAAUAGUAAACAACAAAAAAAUAUUUUUGAUCUGAAGAAUGAACCAAUACUAUCCACCUUUGGUGCAAGGGCUUUCCAAAGUUCCUAGGGUUAAUGUUCUUUCUAAAAGUGAGUGUGAAUGGUAAGCACACACACAAGGGCUUUCCUUCUUUAAACAUGAUGCAUCUACAUACUUUGAAGUUUACUAUGCUUUAAAAAGUCAAAGUAAAGGGUGGAUAUCAUCAAGACCUUUUGAUAGAAGAGCAUCAUACAUGAUUGACCAGUGAGCACGGAUCGGCUUCAUUAGGAAAUGUGCAUGUAGAAAAGCAGGUCGGCACAUUUAAUGAUCCCGGAGAUUGCCAGUGUUGAGUGACAUCGGAAGAGUCUCAGCAUUUUAGAAGCAAGUGCGGUUCCCACCACUCCACAGAGCAGUUUGGUCAUUUUCUAUGAAAAUAACAAUUUUAUGUUUUGUUUGACCUUUUUUUUGUUAAAAGUUAAAGACUCAAAUUUCCAACAAGAGGGGAAGUCAUAAACAAAAUGGGCCUUAUUUGUAAAAUAAACUGGGUGCGUAUUUCCUCGGUGGUGAGGCUUUAAUACUGAUGUUGUCUUGAAGGAUUCCAGUAACUGGAGCUGUACUAAACUGCUAUCUGUUUUAUAGCUAUUCAUAAUAUGCCCAGCAGUUCAUGCUGUUACAACUUUUGUAUUCUUUGCCUUAUCCUAUACAGACACAAAUUUCAAAUUAAAUAAUUAGGUGAUGAAAGUGUGAAAAAAAAUCCGUGGACACACUAAACACAAAAUGAGAGUCAGGGCAGUGACAGCCACUGAGGAGGAAAGGGGGAAUGGAAGAGAUAAGUGUUACAGUGUUUGCACACUGGGCAGAAUAUUAUGAUUUCUAGGAUAUUAGGAGAAUUUAGAGAUGAAAAAAAAAGCAAGACAACAACAAAAGACUGUGUGAACCACUAUUCUGUAUAUUUAAAACUAUUUUGUAAAAAAUGGCAAAUUUUGUAUAUUAGACAGACCCACUGGAGAGCCUGUCAUAUAAAUAUGUGUCAAUGUAGUUUGGUUAUAAAUAUUAGUAAAAAAUGCAUACAUUGAACAGUGCUCAAAACUCUCCUGUUUCCAAGGGGGGUUGAAGGUGCUCUACGGAGCCAGGGUUAUCUGUUGCCUGCACUGAUGGUCUAUGGUGAGGAGCUGUGGAGGAGACUGACAUCCUACAGUGUGUGUGUGUGUGUGUGUGUGUCACUUAGUGCCCAGUCUGCAUUUCCUGUGUAUGUCUGCAUCCCCUGCAUUGUCGGAGGCAGGCGUAUGCAGGUUUUUGUCCAUGCAUGCACACAUGUAGUCAUCAUAUGCAAAUUUUAUCCCUUUUGAUGAGACAUUCCACUCUGACUCAGUUAGUUUAAAAAACCACAUUCAGUGCACAGUUUACAAUUACUGUACGCAAUAAUGUGUGCAUCUGUUUUAUUUCUCAUCUUCCUGGUUAGUCCAAGGCAGCAUUGGUCUUUGAGGAUGCUGAAACCACAACAGCAGUGUGGCAAGUUUGAUAAAAUUAGUUGUCUUUGAUACUGUCUUGAGGGUUGGGUUACUUCUUUUAUGAAAUGUUAGAAAUAGGAUUUUAAAUCCAUGCCUUCACCUGACAGAUAAAGUGUUGUUUAUUUAUCAAGAUUUGCUUACCUCUGUGCUUAGAAUGUUUUUGAAAUUUUUCUUUACUGUAAAGUAUAAAUCUUCAGGUCUUAAUAGAUAAAGAUUCAAUUUAGGAACAAGCAAUAAACACUUUAACAUAAGUAUAUAACUCAUGAAUAUUGAUGUAAAAACAAAUUUUCCCAUAGAAGGGAUAUGUGAAGGUAUAGUAAGAAAGAUUUGAUGUAAUUUUGAUCAGAGCACAUUUAUUGAAGUGGCAAUCAGUAUGUCUGUGUUCAAGUUCAUGUACCGCGUCCACCUUUUAUAAAGUGAUCAUGGUCAUUAACCAUUUCUAUAGGUCAGUGUAGAGGGUGUUCUUUCUUCGGCUGGAUCCCUUCCUUGGCUGUCAUGUUUUCAAAUGGAGUGGGUACCAUUCAUUUGAAGCAUAUUGGAGUGCAUAUCCUUUAUAUAAACAGUUCUCUGGUUCCUUGUAGGAAGUCACUGCCAGUCAUUAUUAGAGAGUUUUUCUUUUCUACCUUUGGUAACUUGCCUUCUUCCAGAUGGUUCAUUAGAACCCUCCUAUUGGGCUUCUCUCUCUGAGCUUCCCCACUGCAGCACUUUCUGUGAGACAAAGGUACUCUCUUUAUUUCUGCUUUCAGCCCCAAAUCACUUUCUGUCUUUCAGUGAAUGAUGGUUAUUUAUUCUCUACUGUGUGGUUAUUGGGUUUCCUUAAUAGCCUCAUGUGGAGGAGUUUUAUUGAGGGCAUUUUAAUUUCGCCUUGAUAGAUUACAGUGGCCACAUUUCUCUAAUCUCUUAUUUAAAAAUCUUUUAGGCAGGACUCUUGUCAAAGACACACUUACUAAAACCAGCUUGUCUUUAAUUUUUCAUCUGUUUACCCAGAUGUGUACUUAGGUUUUUCUCUGAAAGUGAAAUUACUGGUCACAGGAAUCCAUAGCUCAUGUAAUUUGGGUAAUACCCCUCUAUUGGAAGAUACAGAAGGAUUUGGAGGCAUAUUUGAUUUGACCAGUCUUUUUCUUUGGCAUAGGGAUUUUUCAGAUAAUGCAGUUUUGAUUGCAGCAAGAGAAACUUGGUAGCCCCAUAGCCUGAGACUCAUGCAGCCUUUUAUAUAUAAACUCAUGUAGCUCACUGUUGCAUUGUGCAACUUACUAUCUUGAAAAAUCCCUUUGUUUAUCCCUGGUGUCCACCCAGAUUAGUAGGUUUCUUGAGGGUGCCAGACUAUCUUCUUUGUGACCCUUCUGCUGACUAGAAUCCUGAACAGAGAGGCAGUUAGUACCUGUUGCUUUUGGGUGUCUCCUUCACUCAAGACUGCCAAAUUGAACUGCAAAAGAUAGCUACCACAUUUAAAUACAUGGUGAUACAUGUGUCUGUUUUUCCAGCCAGACAUUCUUAGAGCUAUUUCUCCUUCCAGAGGAGCAAGGGUAGCAGGGCCCAACCAUGAGAAAGAAAUCAUACCACAAAUCACGUAACAGAUUAAUCAGGGAAGGGAUACAAUUGAGGAUUUGAUGAAAAUAUCCCUUCUAGCAAAGGCUGUUUAAGGGAGCAUUGCCUGCAAAAAUACUGUUAUGCAAAUGAAUAGAGAGGGACUGAAGGAAGGUCCCAGGGGACUUCCACAAGAAACCCCUGCAGAAUCAGCUAACCUGGCCUUACAGGGUCCCACGGAGACCGAAAUGACAACCAGGGAGCCUGCCUGGGACUGCACUAGACUGCAUAAGUUUUACAGUUGUGUAGCCUUGUCUUUCUGUGGAACUUCAAACAGUGGGAAUAGGGCCAUUCUCUAACUCUUUUGCCUGCUUUUGGGACUCUUUUCCUCCUAGUGGGUUGUCCCGUCCAGCGUUAAUAGGAGGAGAAAUGCCUAGUCUUACUGAAAUUUGAUAUACCAUGUUUGGAUGAUGUCGAUGGGAGGACUGCCUUUUUCUGAAGAGAAAGAGGAGGAGUGGAUGUAAGGCUGGCAGAGAGGAGGAGGAGGGAGGAGGAGGAGGGAGGAGAAGGAGGGAAGAAAAAAUUCUUUCCUUUGUGAUGUCUCUCCGGCAGUUUCUGCUGACCACCUCACUUAUUGUCAGUUGGCAGAAAGAAAAUGUUUCAAGGGCCCACAGACUGUCUCCGAGCAGACAAAGAAGGAUUACUGAUGUUGAAGGCGCAAUACAGCAAUAACUGGCAAAGUGGGUGUGCUCCCUUCCAUAAUGUUUAGACACGUUUUGGGACACAGGAUGUUAUUCAUCCAAUAAAUGGGUUGAUAUGGAAAAGUCAUACCUAGAGACACAAAGGAAUUUGUUGUGAAUACUGACUUAAAGUUCCUGCAUGUAAUUAGUGUGUGGGCUUCCUCAAUACCACUUCUUAGUAAGUGGAAUGACAGUAGACCAGAGGAUGCAUUGUUCCACUUCACUGGGUUUUUCGACAUAGAAUAUACUGCUUUGGCAGUAGCGCUACAAAUGAUUAUUGAACUCUGGUGCCCAAAAUAUCGCUUUAAAAUCAGAUAGUUAGAUAUUGAUUUUGUCAUAUGUUCAUACAGACUAUAUGAUUUAUCAAGCAGUCUACAACAAAUUCAUCCACAGUGAAUCAUCUUUACUAAUGCUGAUUUAUUAUUGAAAGGCUCCAUCAGUGAUUGGAAUGUACAGCUGACACAGAGCACCAUCAAUGAUCUGCUGCUAUUUUCUUUCAGAAGGAUUGUGGGGAUUCCAGCUUUCCAGAUGUUUCUAAAAGUUUGGAAAUUUGUCAGUGUUAGUCAUGGUUAAUAGUAGUGUUCUCUCGAGCCGCAGAACCCAUAGGAACCCAGCUGUCAUUCUUCAGGGUCCCUUCCUCUAGUCCUCUUUUGUUUUGUUUGUAUAAUCUUUGUUUUAUUGAAUAUGUUCUGAUUACACUUCCCUCUCCCAACUUCUCCCAGGUCUUUACCAAUUCCCCACCCACCCAAAUCUACACCCUAUCUUUCUUUCAUUAGAAUGCAAAUAUGGAUCAAAAAAUAUAAAUAAGAUAAAAUAAAAACAAAGCAGACUGAGACAAAGCAAACAGGGUUUGGACAUGCCUGGAUUCCACUCUUGCUCUAGGCCUGCUCUGCAUGGCUCCAGCGCCCCACAGCUCCAUGGUCCCACAGGUUUGGACAUGCCUGGACCCCACUCUUGCUCUAGGCCUGCUCUGCAUGGCUCCAGCACCCCACAGCUCCAUGGUCCCACAGAUGACUUUGGCUCAUUUGAUUAACUACUCUAAACUUCAGUUUCCUUCAGAUGAGGAUAAUAACCAGAGGUGGAGACAGUGUCUGGAAGGCUAGCUGAUGGCUGGAAGGAACUUAAUACAUGGUUGUGACCCUUAUCCUUCCCCUCACCUUAACAGUUAGUGUUUGCUUUUUCUGUGCUGAUCAUGCAUAGAGCUGCCUGAAUAUUGUCAAUGUUCCUCAGGUAUCUGGUCCUUCUUAUUUCUGAUGUUUUUGUUAUUCUAAAAUAGUCAUUUGUAUAUUUUUUAUUCCUGAUAAGUCCUGUGGUUCAGGAACUCCUGGUGGUCCUGCACUGACCAAUCAUCGAGGAUAGCCUUAGACCAUGCCAAGGGAACAGCAUGGAGUAAUGUUUGAUGACCCUGCCUCGCUGAGAAUUUUUGUUGACACUGGCAUGUCAAGAACAUAUCUUUGAUUUACUUAGCCAGGUAUCUGACUAUUUAAAUUGAAUUUUAUAUUAUACAUGGUGGGAGAUUUGGGCAGAUCAUGUGGGUUUGGAAAUGAGUGUCAUUUUCAAUGAAGGAUAAUUACUCUCUGAAGAAGCUGAGGCUGAACCUAGAAGAGUGUGUCCAGUGGAAGGCGGGUACCUCAUCUGGAACAGUGCCCCGACAAGCACUGUUUGCUUCAGCUGUGUGGCAGUCAUUGUUUCUCAGCUACAGUGUCUUAAUAUUCAGCCUAUUUCAGAUCUCUUCCCCUUACCCCACUGGCACAAAGUCUUAUUACAGGGUGAGGAAAUAAGAUAGCAGCAGGGAAAGAAGGAAGUCUCUUUUGUAAUACACGGUUUCAGUGAAUUCUCUCCCCUGUGCUGAUCGCUGUAAUUUGAUUAAUUGGCAUGUGGUGCAUUACAGAAAAUCCAAGGAAAGACAAAGCUGGUUCGAUAUCAAUUAACUGAAGCAAGAAUGGACUUCCCACAGAGACCCAAGGACAGAGCAGUGUUUAACUGGCCCUUUCAAACACAAGUCUUCCCCAAUGAGAAGCAGACGAUCCCAGUUAUUUAAAGAAAUUAAAAACUGUGCAAAUUAGCAGCUCGAAUCCACUUAGAUGAGUCUGCUAUCUCUUUAAUAUAAGAGUCCCAAUCCUUUCUCCAAAGUGACUUGAAUACUUAAUAUUUGCUGAAAUGCUUUGGUUGGAUUUACUAAUAUAAUUGAAUUUUCUUGCUGCAUUCAUGGGCUGUGCAGGUCUGGGAGCUCUGGGGGUGAGACAAAUGCAUCCACGUGCAUGUGGGUCUGCUUUGAGGGGAUUCUUACCCAUUUCCUUCUGGUCCAAGGAUCAAUAGUGGGGAGUUAAGUUAUUCUUUAUAUGAGUUAAGUUAACUGGAGUUAAGUUAUUCUUUAUAUGACUGUCCUGUCUACUUAUUUAUCUAUAAUAGGCUUUGUUGAGGUGACAUAUAUGAACUGAGAUCUUGACCUUGUUCAUAGCCUUAUGAAUGAUAAACAGCUAUCGGCUGUAUAUCAUGCAAUUAGCAUGGUGACAAAGAUGAACCACACUUGGAAAUGAGAAAUCACUUCUGAUAUGGGGGAAAAAUAAAGGUUUUUUUGAAGAAUAUUAAACAAAAUAUUAUGGCUGCAGAAAAGAAGUCUUAUAUUUCAGAUAUUAAGAGUAACAUUUGACAGCAUUAAAAUAUGACAAUUGUGACACAUCCCUAGAGCAUAUAUCAUGUGUGCCUGGCACAUGGAGAGGUGCUAGUGAUGAAGGUAAAGGGGGAGGCAUGAGCAAUUUCAUGAAAGAGUUCCUGUGUAACUUUCCAGACAUCUGAAUUUCUGGUUACAAAGGGAAUGUAGAGCUCUUCUAGAAUGUUGAAGACUGAGAAUGAUGCAAUCGAUUGGACACUUGAGUAGUAAGCCGAGUACAGCACUCCCAUGUACAGGGACGCUAAAAAGACAUUAGGAAAUGGUUGCAUCCCGAGUGACUGGUAGAGUGCGAGCCUGGCCAAGGAGCUGGCAAGGGGGUAGGCACAAAGGCACUUGUAGGUGGAAGAAUUGACUGGAUUUCAUUCAGUGGGCAGGGAGGGAAAGUAAGAGCCCUGGCAUUGUUUUCUUGGUUCAUUUUCAGAGUUAAGGAUUACAAGAGAAUUAUGUUUUCUGAUGGGAACAGGAAAAACAAUUGAGCCUGGGUUAUGUUUAGUUGGAGAAUUUGUACAUGCAGACACCUUGUAUGCAGGUGUAUUCUUGGGUCCCAGCACAGCUUUUAGGGGUAAUGUGUUUUUGUUUUUGGACAAAAUUCCUAAGAACGUGUGGCAUUGAAAGUCAAAGGCUUUGCCUAUAGUUGAAAGCUAGAGUUAGGAGGUGAAUCCGUUCCUCUAGGGCAUGGUAUGCAGAUGAAGGCGAAGGAGUAUUGGAAGCUGAGAAUGAGGCUUGUGGAUUCCAAAUGCACAGUGACAGCCACAGGAAAGGGAAGCUGUGUGGAAGGUGGCAAAGGAGUGAGCCCUUUCCCUGUACACACGUGACUAGGCAGCAUGGUCUGGCCCAACAGCCAGUUUUAAUUUGUUUGGCUCAUUUGUUUAGAGGGAAGAAUUAAACGUUUUCAUUGAGAUGGAAGAGCCAGAAGAUGGAUGACAGGCACAGGAGUGAGGCCAUGUGCUCCAAGAAAGAACUUUAAGGAACAAUGAUGGGAUAAAGGUAUCCAGGAGGCAGGGGAGGGAGACGCUCUCGAGCCUGCCAGUGGAGGCUGUGAUUUAAAGGAAGGGUGCCUUCUGUAAAGUCAAGGACAAGUGAAGGACUGAAGCCCAUCUGCACCCGAGACAGGACUGGUGGUGGAAGGGGAUGUAGGACUAGACACUGGGAGUCUAUUGGAUGACUUCUGUUCUCAAGGAAGAGAGAAAGACCAGUAAUUUUUUUUUUCAAGAGAAGAUUGAGGGUUGGUAAUAUUCUAAGGAGUGGAAUGUGUUCAAGUGUAGAGUUUGUUAAUUGGAUAGAACAGUUAAAACUUUCAACUCUGAAACGUGCUUCUUGACUCAGCAUGUGUUUGUUGAUGGUGUAGUUCUAAAUUAACCAAGUAACUAACAAGGAUGGUGUAAAGCGUCUGCAGUGUUGAAUGCAUUGUGGUGAUGGUCCUUGCUCUGGAGGUCUUGCUGGUGCUAAAGCUAUUUGAAAAUCAUGGUUAUGCAUCUUCAUUCACAGAAAGAGUUUGAUGUGACUGUUGGGCAUGUAGACUUCAGGUAAAGGAGUAUAUUGUCUCCAUAUUCAUUACUGUAAUAGCACUUUUAUUAUAGAAUAGAUUUAGGUUUGCAGAAACUCUGCCAAUGCUAGAGAGAUCUUCAGAAUCCCAAAACCAGCUUUCCCUCUAUUAAAAACAGUAUAUUAGCAUGAUAUAUUUGUCACAAUUCAAUAAGGUAGUAGUCAGGUUUUUAUUACCAUAACAAAUUUCUAAAGUAUAUUAGUAUUUGAAGAAAGGCUUAUUUUAGUCUGUAGUCCCUUGGCUGUUGAAUCUGGACUAUGAUGACACGGUACAUCAUGGUGGGAGCUUAUAGUGCAGCAGGAUGCUCACUUCAUGGCAUAUGGGAAGCAUAGAGAGACAGAGAGGUUGAGCGCUCACAUUCUCCAAGAACACAGAUUAACAACAGGGCUUCCUUUGCUACUUUUCAGGAGUGGCCACAGGCUGCAUACCUGCUCUUCACAGACAAGAUAUUUUUGUUUUCUUUUUCUUUUUCUUUUCUUUAUUUUAAAUUUAAGACACUGUCUUGCUGUAGUUCCCAAGCAAGUGUCUGCCUGUUUGGCUCAGUUGAAUCUUCUGCUUAAGCAUUCAUUGGCUAUGAUGACGGGAGUGUGCUACUGUGCCCAUCCUGAACUCCUUUUUCUGCAUUACUACCUGCAUUCACUUUUGUUUCAUUAUUCCCAAGCCUUCUUGUUUUAGCUUCUUGGAUUGCUGGCAGUGUAAGGAACAGGCGACUUCCAAAUGCAGAGCUAAAUCAGUGGCAUGGGUUGUCUAUCUCUCUGUUUCCUUGGGAUUAUCUUCUGAAGCACUGUUUCUUUCAGAAAUUACCAACGGAGGGCAAAAAGUGCAGAAAUAAAAAAAUCAACUGGCAUUAUACUAAGCUUAUGUGACCUUGGUGUCAGUUAUAUCUGGCUUUAAUUUAAAAGGUAUUAUAAAUACAAUUUGCUAGAUAUUAAUGUUUUGAAAGUAGAAAUACAUUAUGGAUGUAUUUUUGAUGACAAAUUUUUCAUCCUGGCCAGUGAUGAUGCUACUCACUACCCUCUACCUCUAGAUGGCACUGGUCUCAUGCUGGCCUACAAUGUGUAAGCUACAGGAUUUGGAAUGAAAAUAUCUAUGUGGCUGGCAUUAUGUGUAUGUUCUGUUGUUGUCCACUCUCUACUUAUUUCUCUCUUAGCAGAACACAGAACCUGGGAGCUCCAGUCAUGUUAAAUGAACGAUAUUCUGGAUGAGUAUUGGGAGAUUUCUAAGGUGGAUGGUGUUUGCAUCCUGUAAUCUGCAUCAGACUCAUUUUGGGCAAGCCAUAAUGGACUGUCUGCUCUCUUUAAGCCCUUUUUCACUUGUUGGUGGACAGUUGUUCAGAACAGUUCCUCUGUGUAGAACUCAGUUCUCUGACAACUGAUUCCUUGGCCUAGGUUAUUGUAAAAUGUGAGAAGGAGGGUAAAAAAGAAUCUGCUUAUCAUAGAGAAAUAUUUAGCUACUGUUUUAUGUUUCAUGGACCUGUUGGGAUUUUACUCCCAAAUACCUCAGUUAUUAUUGUCUGUCAUACAGUCUCUCCUGGUUUUCUCAGAUUGCCUAAGUCCUCUCAUAUUACUGAGAAAGUAACUAUUUGUCUUGCUUGAUUUGCCUGUGAAUCUUUUACUCUGUGGCUCUUUUCUAUUAGGUACUUUCUAAAGCAGUCAUGUGAUUAACUUAGACUUUAGAUUAAUUUAGGAUGAUCUGGAGAAAUAUGCCAUGAUAUAGACAAAAGAUGCUGCUAACUAGAAUUGCAUUUGUAGACUGUUAUACAGUUUUUGAAGUCAUUCUUGCCUCUUCUCCUUUCACUUCCCCACACCCUGUCCCCUUAUUAAGUACUGACUGACAAAACCCAAGUUCAUGGUUCUGCUCUCUGUUCUUUCAUGCAUUCAACUUCUGCACUUACCUGCUUUGCUUGGCUUCAGGUCACAGUCAGAGUUCCCAGUCACAAUAUGCAUGAUGCUCUGUUCCUUCCUCAUGCCACUUUCCCUCACAUUUGAUACUAUGCAGACCAAGAAUACUUCAUGCUUUGCCUGUAGUUCUGAUCCUUCUAGCUCUAUUACCUCAAACAGGGAUUGCCUUAGAAGCUUCCAUGUAGCCAAAUUGCUGAUAUAAUAGUGACUGCCAGUUUUACCAAAGGCUUGUAAUUUUUAAAUGCAGUUGAAAUAUUUUUAAUUAUUUUUUUUAAUUAACUAAUUUAUUUUUUUUGCACUCCAUGUGUUACAAUGCAGAACUUUCGUACAGUUUAGAGAUGUUGCUCUUGAUUCACAUUUUGUUUUCCAACCAUAGUCGUGCUUCUGCUUCUGUCACAGUUUCUAGUCAAGCUCUUCCCUGGCUAUUGUGUCUUCUCAUUCCAAAAUCAUUGUUUGUUUGAAAGAGACUCUCCCUAUGUAGCCCAGGCUACCUCAGUCUUAUAAUCCACCAGUUCCAGUCUCCUGAUUGCUAGUUUAACACAAUGCCUGCCGUUGUGUAGGCUAUUUGUGAAGAGCUCACCAGAGCCUGUUUUCUCUGAGAGCCUGAGAAGACCGUCUUCUUUUUCCAUCUUCUCCUACCCCACGAUUCUGGCAGAAAAGUACGUUGUUUUUUGUUAUCAUCUUUGGGUUGAUGCGCAUUAGGUGUGUUGUGUAGAUAUGCUUGCAGAGUGCCCAAGAAGGGCUCUGACUUGUGAGUGUGUAUCCACCUACACACCUUUUUUAGGGCUUGACUGACUAUUUUCUUGGACACAUCAUCUUUCAGAGUUUCAUACACUGUACAGAAUGUCACAGACCUGUCAAUUCCGUUUGAAUGAAUCUUCUGAACAGUUGACAUAUUUCAGAAGUGUUUCUAAUUCCUUUCGAUCUCUGUGUGUGAUUUAUUCAACUCUCAAAUGUUUAUUUUCUCAUUUUCUUCUAUUUUCCUUUCUGUCACUUUUCUUUCUUAGUUUAGGAUGAAAGGGCUGAGAUCACUGGAGUCAAACACAGAGGCCAUAAAAGGGUUCCAGGAUGUUCCAGUGCGAUCCCGGAGGCUCUAGGUUGCUUGCACAAAGAUGCUGUAGGGCACUGGCCUCUCAUGUUGUACAUUGCUUAAGAAGUUCACAUGGUUUCCAACAUAGGACAUUUUCCUGUGAGUAGUGCUAGUGUAGAGUACGACUGUGUUCCGUUUGUGUGGGAAGCACUACUUGAAUGGUCCCCAAACUGUCCACAUUGGUGCAAGUUCACAAAUGUUAGUCUACUCAAAAGGAAAGCUUAACUGGUUGUUGUUAAAUUAUGUCUGUGCUUACAUGUGUGUAUACAUGCUUGCAGAGACUUAGGUCAGCCUAUUUGGUGUUCUCCAGGAGCUGGUCACCCUAUUUUAAGUCAGCAUCCAUUACUGCACUGGAAUUCAUCAGGCUGCCUAGCUAGAGAGUCCCAGGAAUCUGCUUGUCUCCCCUUUCCUAGCACUGGUAUUAUAAGUGUACAUCAUUAUAUAUGGAUUUUUAAAUGUUGUUUUGGGGCCUCAUAUUUGCAGUGUUCUCACUUUACUGGCCAGGCUAUCUCUUGCUGGUCUGUGUACCAGAUACUGUCUGCAGAGAUCUGCUGGACUCUGACCUGGCUGGAGCAGUGGAAGCGUUGCACUCUGAAGGGGAGGGAGAGUUGAUCUUCCAAGGCCUCAAGUCUAAAUUGGAGGUCACAGAGCAGCAACCUUGAACUGCUUCCAGCUACUAAAGCUUCUGGAGAGAAGUUCUCAACGUGUUACAGCUCUACAUGGCAGACUUUCUCAGGUCUUGAUGAGAUAACUCAUGCUUUAUUCAUUGUGGCCAGGGUCUUAUGUACAUUUUGGGGUGGGUUGUGGGUCUACGAGCCUAUGCUUUCUAUUAGCUAUGUCUGAGAUGUUAGGGAUGUUUCAUCUGCAUGUAGAGUUGCUUCGGGCACUGCCCCUAUGUGACUGAUUGUCACGAUCCUCUCCAUGGGGUGUUCUAGGGCAGGAACCUGGUUGGGAGUAGAUGAAACACCUGCCUACAGUCCUCAGCUAUGAGGACAGCAGGAUUUCUGAAUCCAUUCAGCCUUACCAAGAUUUUGUGUGGUAUCACAGUUUCACUUGCCCCAUAAUUUCCCACCUCCAAUUAAUAAUAUUAAUAAUAAUAAUAAUAAUUUAGUGAUCUUUAUUCAAAAAUGUCUUUUAUUUGGAGUAAAUACCAUCAUUUUAUGCACAGUUUCUCAAGUAAUGUGAGUAUAUGAGGCGUGGAAGCUUAGUUAUGUUCAUGCUUUAUAUUACGUUCUUUAUUCUGUCUGUCUGGUCCUUUCUAUAUUGAAGCCAGAGUGAGGGAGCUGGGUCCCAAAUUGGAUCACAAUUGUAGAGUUGGUUUGGAUUCAGCCUCUAUCUCUUGCUGUGCCAUGGUGCACCUCACUUAACUUCUGAACUCCCUGAUUUCUUACUGAAGAAUCUGGGGUUAACAAGCGUUAUAAGCAUUAAAUGAAAGCAUGUAAUAGGUAAGGCAAUGACUUUGCAAGGUAGAAAAUACCUGUUACCAUGAGCUUAUGAUUCUAUGAGCUGCAGCAGUGUCAAAAGGUCUGUCACAGAAACUCAGAGAAAUAGGCAGCAUGGGUAGACUAUAGCACUCACAGUAAGGCUUGUGGUGCUUAAGGAGCACGUGGUCUCUGGAUAUUUCAGUGAGCAAAGAGAAAAGGAAUUGUGCAUUGAAACCAUAGCCCAGACCCACACAACCACCUGUAAUUCUACUUUCCUCUAAUCCCUUUCCCUUUGCAUAGUGAGAACUUUGCAUGUUUGUAUAUUAUUCUUUUGACUUCCUCUUCCUCCUUCUCUUCCUCCUCCUCCUCUUCUUUUUUUCCCUUGAAAUGUAUGCUUAACAUCUAGGGCUCUUUGAAAAAAAAUCAUUUUUGCUUUCUAAAAUUUAGAUUUAAUUGGCUUUUGUUGUCCACUUUCCUUAUUAAACCGUAUCUGAAUUAGUUUCUUGCAUCUCUUCUAUUCUCAUUUGAACUAUUCCCCUGGCUUCUGCAGUCGGGAUAGAAUUUGUAUUUAGGGUCAUUUGGGUUUGUAUCGGGCUGCGUAAUAAAAAUGUCAGAAAUAAGUGAAGGCCUAGUGUGAAAAGAGGUGGCACUGCCUGUUUUGUGUGGUUGAUGGAAAGCUAAGUGUCCAUCAACAUUGUGGAUCUGUCUCUCCAUCACAAGAUUAAGGGAGAAAGUAUCCCUUAAACAUCUCGGGGAUUGGGGUGAGAUCAUUCUUUUGGUCUGGGUUUGAUUCUAGUUGUGUAAAUGACCUUACCCUCUCUACAUCAGCACCUCCUGGGUUCUUUUCCUUCUUUGAGCUGGGCAUAGAUGAUCCUUACAAUCUCUUCCUGCCCCCGUGUUAUGUUCCAUUAGAAAUAAUAGCUGGCUAUGCAUAGAUACUCUUUGUUUUUUCUUGUGCCAUAUUGUACAGAUGACCUCACCUGCCAUUUUAAAAUUCUUCUAUUAAUGAUUUAAGAAUUUCAAAAGGGAACCCUAUUUUCCCUGUAUAAAUAGUAUUUACAUUUUCUUUAUACACACUGAUAUUAAUAUGUAGUUAUUAAAUAAAAUGUUCAGCUCUGUACUUCACUGAAUUCCCUUGAAUAAUGGAAGUAGGCUUGCUUUAACUUUGCUGCUCCUUCCUUGCUUUCUGAGUGAUUUUCUGCAUGUUUGAUGUAUUUGCACAAACAUUCCAGUGCUUCUGAUUUGUUGAAAAUGGUUUACUGCAUUCCAUAAUUGAAUUGAUUAGGCCACAACUUGCCUUUCAGCGUUAUCUGCUACCUCUGUAACUUGAAGAAGACACACACUUUUAGUUGGAGGUUUUAUCUGUGUACAGAGGUGGCAUGGGGGUAGAGUUAAUGGUGACAGGCUGUGUGUGGUUCAGAGGAGGGUCAUGUGCUUUAAAAGUGAGAGUACACUUUAUUACUAAUGUUCGAUAUACAUUAGUCUUAUCAGGCAAGUACUUUGAGUUUGGAGAAAGGCACACCAGGGGACCAUGCACAUUGCAUUUAGUUUUCUUAUGUAGUAGCUAAGAGCUGCUCCAGGCUCCUUUGUCAUGGCUUCCAUGGUGAUCCUUUAGGAAAGGACAGAAUGAACUAUUCUUCUUACAGCAUUGUGUGAAGCUUUCAGCUAAGUUUUAGCUUUAGCUAUUAUUAUUUGAGAUGCCAUCCUUAGCUGUGGUUCAGGAAAACAAACAAACAAACAAACAAGCACAGAAAGAGCUACAUUUGAUUAAAAUUGAAGGUGUUUACUUCUUACAUGUUCAAAUGUUUCUUUUCAGGUCUAAUGCAGAUUUAAGAGAAUUUUCCAUUUUUCUUUGCUAACAAUGUAAUGGCAUUUGUGCCAAAGAGAGAUCAUAAACUUAAGAACAUAGAGAAGCAUAAGGUGAUUAACACAUUAUAAAGUAUAUGUAGGCUGUGUGCUCUGUUGACAGCUUACAGAGUGGGAGAAGAUCUUUGCCAGACAAGGUGUUAAUAUCUAGAAUGUAUAAAGAAAAAAAUUAAAUAUCAAAAGAACAGAACUAUCAGUCAAAAUGGUGAAUAAAAUGAAUAGACAGUUCUCCAGAGAAAAAACAUAAAUGGCUAAUAAAUAUUUGUUUUAAGUGUUCAGUAUCCUUAGCUGUCAACAAAUCCAAGUUAUAACCCUGAAAAUACAUCUUACUUCAGUCAGCAUGGCCUCCACCAGGAAACAAAAGAGUAAGAAAUGCUAGCUAGUAUGGGGAAAAGAAAACCAACCCUCUGAAUUGUGGUGGGACUGGGAGUUAUUGUAGCCAUGGUGGGGAUCAGUGUGGAUAGUUAUCAAAAACCUAAAAGAAAAGCUAUUAUAUGAGCCAGCUCCACCACCUCUGCUCAAACACCUAAGUGCUAUGUGCAUUCUACCUCAGAGAUGUUUGCCCUCGUAGGUUCACGCUGUUCUACUCAUAAUAGCAAGACAAUAGGACAGCCUAGCUGUGUGUCCAUCAGCAUGAGUGGAUCAUGUAAAUACGCUACAUAUGCACAAUGGGAUUUUGUUUAAGUGUAAA